Molecule: ribosomal RNA, 253 nt
Filed under: uncultured bacterium
Lineage: Bacteria
Description: partial 16S ribosomal RNA
Rfam family: Bacterial small subunit ribosomal RNA
Source: RNAcentral
UACGUAGGGACCGAGCGUUGUCCGGAUUCAUUGGGCGUAAAGAGCUCGUAGGCGGCCACUCAAGUCGAAUGUGAAACCUCGAGGCUUAACCUCGAGCCUGCAUUCGAUACUGGGCGGCUAGAGUCUGGUAGGGGGAUCUGGAAUUCCUGGUGUAGCGGUGGAAUGCGCAGAUAUCAGGAGGAACACCGGUGGCGAAGGCGGGAUCCUGGGCCAGUACUGACACUCAGGUGCGACAGCGUGGGGAGCAAACAGG